This 635-nucleotide ribosomal RNA is filed under the name Microbacteriaceae bacterium Ri2Pt_4029. Its description in RNAcentral is "bacterial SSU rRNA". It matches the Rfam family "Bacterial small subunit ribosomal RNA", at positions 378 to 1022 of the family's 1533-position model. The record is from RNAcentral. Lineage: Bacteria; Bacillati; Actinomycetota; Actinomycetes; Micrococcales; Microbacteriaceae.
GCAGCCUGAUGCAGCAACGCCGCGUGAGGGAUGACGGCCUUCGGGUUGUAAACUUCUUUUAGUAGGGAAGAAGCGAAAGUGACGGUACCUGCAGAAAAAGCACCGGCUAACUACGUGCCAGCAGCCGCGGUAAUACGUAGGGUGCAAGCGUUGUCCGGAAUUAUUGGGCGUAAAGAGCUCGUAGGCGGUUUGUCGCGUCUGCUGUGAAAUCUGGGGGCUCAACCCCCAGCCUGCAGUGGGUACGGGCAGACUAGAGUGCGGUAGGGGAGAUUGGAAUUCCUGGUGUAGCGGUGGAAUGCGCAGAUAUCAGGAGGAACACCGAUGGCGAAGGCAGAUCUCUGGGCCGUAACUGACGCUGAGGAGCGAAAGCAUGGGGAGCGAACAGGAUUAGAUACCCUGGUAGUCCAUGCCGUAAACGUUGGGAACUAGAUGUGGGGGCCAUUCCACGGUCUCCGUGUCGCAGCUAACGCAUUAAGUUCCCCGCCUGGGGAGUACGGCCGCAAGGCUAAAACUCAAAGGAAUUGACGGGGGCCCGCACAAGCGGCGGAGCAUGCGGAUUAAUUCGAUGCAACGCGAAGAACCUUACCAAGGCUUGACAUAUACCGGAAACGUCCAGAGAUGGUCGCCCCGCAAGG